GACGAACGCUGGCGGCGUGCCUAAUACAUGCAAGUAGAACGCUGAAGGAGGAGCUUGCUCUUCUGGAUGAGUUGCGAACGGGUGAGUAACGCGUAGGUAACCUGCCUGGUAGCGGGGGAUAACUAUUGGAAACGAUAGCUAAUACCGCAUAACAGUAGAUGUUGCAUGACAUUUACUUAAAAGGUGCAAUUGCAUCACUACCAGAUGGACCUGCGUUGUAUUAGCUAGUUGGUGGGGUAACGGCUCACCAAGGCGACGAUACAUAGCCGACCUGAGAGGGUGGUCGGCCACACUGGGACUGAGACACGGCCCAGACUCCUACGGGAGGCAGCAGUAGGGAAUCUUCGGCAAUGGACGGAAGUCUGACCGAGCAACGCCGCGUGAGUGAAGAAGGGUUUCGGAUCGUAAAGCUCUGUUGUAAGAGAAGAACGAGUGUGAGAGUGGAAAGUUCACACUGUGACGGUAUCUUACCAGAAAGGGACGGCUAACUACGUG
Molecule: ribosomal RNA, 495 nt
Filed under: uncultured bacterium
Lineage: Bacteria
Description: partial 16S ribosomal RNA
Rfam family: Bacterial small subunit ribosomal RNA
Source: RNAcentral